This is a non-coding RNA of Xylaria sp. CBS 124048, 97 nucleotides long. NCBI's taxonomy places the organism in Eukaryota, Fungi, Ascomycota, Sordariomycetes, Xylariales, Xylariaceae. The record is from the annotation of a GenBank genome assembly.
GGUCCCAUAGCUCAGUUGGUUAGAGCGUCGUACUAAUAUUAUAGCAAUGUAACAUUGGUAAAUGCGAAGGCCGUGAGUUCAAGCCUCACUGGGACCA